CGAGGGUAAAAUUGUCUUUUUAUAGGAAAAAUGGAUGAAAAUGACAUUUUGCUCAAUGAAAGGUGGCAAAUAGAGUGAAAAUGUCUAAAAAUAAAAGGUAUGAAUGUUUUGCACAAUAACAAUGAAAUAUAGAGAUGUUUUGUGCUAUUUACCCUAUUUGAUAUAUUCACUUAAGCUACGAAAUAUACUUUGCUUAAGAUAUUAGUACAUCAUAAACUGUUAUUCCCCGAUAUCCUAAUACAAGUUUGAAAGGGAGACUAGAAAGCAGGAUGUUGUCGACUCGCAUGUGUUAAGCAUAGAACUUAUGUUCCUUCUAAGCCAGGAUCAAACUCUAUCCAAUCCACUAGACUGUGUAGAUUUGAUGACGGAAUCGAAAGGCAAAUGCACUUGCGGUUAAGAUAGAUCCUUCAUCUAUUACUUAAUGCAAUUGAUCGACCCACCAAAGGGUCACGAUGCUUUAUUAACACAUAAAAGGAGCUACUCAACCUCACAACUUGGUGACCAAUGCUGCAAUUUUCUUUCAAACGAAAUACUGUACAUAAAAUUAAAUCAAGAAAACACAAUCGACGAAGAAUCUGUAUAAGAAAAGUAAAAAUCUCAACAUUAUAGAAUUUCAAUAAGUAGUAAAAUUCGAACAUGAAUGAGUUCUUUUCCAUGGCAUCAUUUACACUUAUCAUGUAAAGGGGGACCCAAAAUCACAGGCUUCGCUGCCUCUUCUGCAAGCUUCACCGAUAUGAAAUCGCACAAAAUCUGGCAUUGGCCUGCAAAUAAUCUCCAUAUUUGGCCUGCGAAUGUUCUGAACAAUCCAAAAGGAACAAUAAACCUCAACAAUCUGCAUGGAAUUGCCAGUAAAUGAAGACUGACUUCUCUUUCAUCCAUUACUCGGAUCAUCUUGGUUUCCUGAUUUGUAUUAAUAUGUCUUUCUUCUCUGUAUCUUUCAACGUAGAAGCUAAACCAAAUGGAGGGUUUUAGUUUUACAAUACAAGAAAUUAAGCAACGCCUUUAAGCAAGGAGUGCACUCGAAAUUAAGCAAAGAAUACCUACUACGAUUCUAACUUGAAUUCUCUUAGGUUUAUAUCCAUGUUAAGAACUAAGGUUUCGGAGUGCUCCGCGUUAUUUGUAGGAGAAAAGUUUUUCACGUGUCCUAAUCCUAUAAUG
RNAcentral lists this long non-coding RNA (1158 nucleotides) under Olea europaea subsp. europaea. The record is from RNAcentral. Lineage: Eukaryota; Viridiplantae; Streptophyta; Magnoliopsida; Lamiales; Oleaceae.